AGAGUUUGAUCCUGGCUCAGGAUGAACGCUGGCGGCGUGCUUAACACAUGCAAGUCGAACGAAACACCUUAUUUGAUUUUCUUCGGAACUGAAGAUUUGGUGAUUGAGUGGCGGACGGGUGAGUAACGCGUGGGUAACCUACCCUGUACAGGGGGAUAACAGUCAGAAAUGACUGCUAAUACCGCAUAAGACCACAGCACCGCAUGGUGCAGGGGUAAAAACUCCGGUGGUACAGGAUGGACCCGCGUCUGAUUAGCUGGUUGGUGAGGUAACGGCUCACCAAGGCGACGAUCAGUAGCCGGCUUGAGAGAGUGAACGGCCACAUUGGGACUGAGACACGGCCCAAACUCCUACGGGAGGCAGCAGUGGGGAAUAUUGCACAAUGGGGGAAACCCUGAUGCAGCGACGCCGCGUGAGUGAAGAAGUAUCUCGGUAUGUAAAGCUCUAUCAGCAGGGAAGAAAAUGACGGUACCUGACUAAGAAGCCCCGGCUAACUACGUGCCAGCAGCCGCGGUAAUACGUAGGGGGCAAGCGUUAUCCGGAAUUACUGGGUGUAAAGGGUGCGUAGGUGGUAUGGCAAGUCAGAAGUGAAAACCCAGGGCUUAACUCUGGGACUGCUUUUGAAACUGUCAGACUAGAGUGCAGGAGAGGUAAGCGGAAUUCCUAGUGUAGCGGUGAAAUGCGUAGAUAUUAGGAGGAACAUCAGUGGCGAAGGCGGCUUACUGGACUGAAACUGACACUGAGGCACGAAAGCGUGGGGAGCAAACAGGAUUAGAUACCCUGGUAGUCCACGCCGUAAACG
This 802-nucleotide ribosomal RNA is filed under the name uncultured bacterium. Its description in RNAcentral is "bacterial SSU rRNA". It matches the Rfam family "Bacterial small subunit ribosomal RNA", at positions 8 to 808 of the family's 1533-position model. The record is from RNAcentral.